This 513-nucleotide ribosomal RNA is filed under the name Sphingobacterium sp. UASWS0375. RNAcentral describes it as "bacterial SSU rRNA". It matches the Rfam family "Bacterial small subunit ribosomal RNA", at positions 391 to 904 of the family's 1533-position model. The record is from RNAcentral. Lineage: Bacteria; Pseudomonadati; Bacteroidota; Sphingobacteriia; Sphingobacteriales; Sphingobacteriaceae.
GCCAUGCCGCGUGCAGGAUGACUGCCCUAUGGGUUGUAAACUGCUUUUGUCCGGGAAUAAACCUCCUUACGAGUAGGGAGCUGAAUGUACCGGAAGAAUAAGGAUCGGCUAACUCCGUGCCAGCAGCCGCGGUAAUACGGAGGAUCCGAGCGUUAUCCGGAUUUAUUGGGUUUAAAGGGUGCGUAGGCGGCCCGUUAAGUCAGGGGUGAAAUACGGUGGCUCAACCAUCGCAGUGCCUUUGAUACUGACGGGCUUGAAUCCAUAUGAAGUGGGCGGAAUAAGACAAGUAGCGGUGAAAUGCAUAGAUAUGUCUUAGAACUCCGAUUGCGAAGGCAGCUCACUAAGCUGGUAUUGACGCUGAUGCACGAAAGCGUGGGGAUCGAACAGGAUUAGAUACCCUGGUAGUCCACGCCCUAAACGAUGAUAACUCGAUGUUGGCGAUAGACAGCCAGCGUCCCAGCGAAAGCGUUAAGUUAUCCACCUGGGGAGUACGCCCGCAAGGGUGAAACUCAA